Molecule: ribosomal RNA, 582 nt
Filed under: uncultured soil bacterium
Lineage: Bacteria
Description: bacterial SSU rRNA
Rfam family: Bacterial small subunit ribosomal RNA
Source: RNAcentral
AUUGAACGCUGGCGGCAUGCCUUACACAUGCAAGUCGAGCGGCAGCGCGGGGGCAACCCUGGCGGCGAGCGGCGAACGGGUGAGUAAUGCAUCGGAACGUGUCCUCUUGUGGGGGAUAACCAGUCGAAAGACUGGCUAAUACCGCAUGAGCUCGAAAGAGGAAAGCAGGGGACCGCAAGGCCUUGCGCGAGAGGAGCGGCCGAUGCCGGAUUAGCUAGUUGGCGGGGUAAUGGCCCACCAAGGCGACGAUCCGUAACUGGUCUGAGAGAACGACCAGCCACACUGGGACUGAGACACGGCCCAGACUCCUACGGGAGGCAGCAGUGGGGAAUUUUGGACAAUGGGGGCAACCCUGAUCCAGCCAUGCCGCGUGUGUGAAGAAGGCCUUCGGGUUGUAAAGCACUUUCGGACGGAACGAAAUCGCGCGGGUGAAUAUCCCGCGUGGAUGACGGUACCGUAAGAAGAAGCACCGGCUAACUACGUGCCAGCAGCCGCGGUAAUACGUAGGGUGCGAGCGUUAAUCGGAAUUACUGGGCGUAAAAGCGCGCGUAGGCGGUUGUUAAGUCAGCUGUUGAAGCCCCG